Phrynosoma platyrhinos (Desert horned lizard) is the source of this 74-nucleotide non-coding RNA. NCBI's taxonomy places the organism in Eukaryota, Metazoa, Chordata, Lepidosauria, Squamata, Phrynosomatidae. The record is from the annotation of a GenBank genome assembly.
GGAGAAGCCUGAUGCAGUGGUUUGAGUGUUGGACUAGGAAUCUGGAGACCAGGGUUUGAAUCCCUGCUUGACCA